CUGACCCACGACAAGUGGGGGCAGCCGACCACGGUAAGGUCAGCGACUGGGGCG
This 54-nucleotide ribosomal RNA is filed under the name uncultured bacterium. RNAcentral describes it as "partial 16S ribosomal RNA". The record is from RNAcentral.